UGAGGAAUAUUGGUCAAUGGGCGAGAGCCUGAACCAGCCAAGUAGCGUGCAGGAUGACGGCCCUAUGGGUUGUAAACUGCUUUUAUAUGGGAAUAAAGUGAGGGACGUGUCCCUUAUUGCAUGUACCAUAUGAAUAAGGCCCGGCUAAUUCCGUGCCAGCAGCCGCGGUAAUACGGAAGGUCCAGGCGUUAUCCGGAUUUAUUGGGUUUAAAGGGAGCGUAGGCUGUUUGUUAAGCGUGUUGUGAAAUGUAAGAGCUCAACUUUUAGAUUGCAGCGCGAACUGGCAGACUUGAGUGCGCACAACGUAGGCGGAAUUCAUGGUGUAGCGGUGAAAUGCUUAGAUAUCAUGACGAACUCCGAUUGCGAAGGCAGCUUACGGGAGCGCAACUGACGCUAAAGCUCGAAGGUGCGGGUAUCGAACAGG
Molecule: ribosomal RNA, 424 nt
Filed under: Verrucomicrobiota bacterium
Lineage: Bacteria; Pseudomonadati; Verrucomicrobiota
Description: Verrucomicrobia bacterium partial 16S ribosomal RNA
Rfam family: Bacterial small subunit ribosomal RNA
Source: RNAcentral